ACACGGCAACACUGCCUCCCCAAGCCCUAUACUGUCCUGUGAUCUGCCAAGCACUUUCCUAACAAGAGCUCUGGGGGACAAGGGCAUGGCGGUGGACUAUUCUUCAUCUACAGGGAGGAGAAACUAAGGACAAGGGAGAGGAACUAAUUUGCUGAAGGUCACGUGGCUAGUGUCAUAGCCAGAUCUUCCGAUCUCCAGGUCAAGUGGUAUCCACCAUACCCUACUGACAAAAGCAGGCACCCGAUACUUAAAAUCGCUAAUGAUUAAACUGUCUCCAGGUUGGAUGCGAAGGACAAACCACACAUACAGGUUGGAUGUGGUGAGCUAGGAACAGACGCUGGGAAUCAACUGCUCAUGGCAGAGCUUUGAGACGAGGAUGAAGUGGAGUAGCCCUAGGGCAAAAUCUACACGGGGGAGGAUAUGAAGAAGGCUGAAAAAAAAUAAAUGCAGUUUAAUUAAUGAAAUCUAUAUCCAAUGCUGAAGAAAUUCUGGGCUUCAGAUGACCAGAGAAUUCACCAAAAAGGCAUCAACCCCCAGAGCCGAACAGAGAACUACACCAAAGGAGAACUUAAUGAAGACUCUAAAAAAAGGGAUGCAGAGUCACUUCAAUCAAGACUUCCAUUAAGUCUUGACAGCUUUGAGUGUGGAAUAUGUUGGCUAGAUCAGAGUCUUUAAUAAUGGCCUGCCUGGCCCAGCCUCCCGGAUCCAUGAUUCAAAGAUGUUUGUGUAGAUGAAUAUUAUACUCUGAACUCAUCUAAUUUUUCAAGUAUAAUGGU
Non-coding RNA from Phascolarctos cinereus (koala), 776 nucleotides. Lineage: Eukaryota; Metazoa; Chordata; Mammalia; Diprotodontia; Phascolarctidae. The record is from RefSeq and is a predicted model, not a curated record.